This is a non-coding RNA of Schistosoma rodhaini, 46 nucleotides long. NCBI's taxonomy places the organism in Eukaryota, Metazoa, Platyhelminthes, Trematoda, Strigeidida, Schistosomatidae. The record is from Rfam.
GCACUGCUGAAGAGUUCCACAAUAGGACGAAACGGCCGUCCAAUGC